CACAGGAAAAGGCUUUUGGCAGCUCGUCGGGCUCAUAACCCGGAGGUCGUAGGUUCAAGUCCUACUCCUGCUA
RNAcentral lists this transfer RNA (73 nucleotides) under Spirochaetaceae bacterium. RNAcentral describes it as "tRNA-Met". It matches the Rfam family "tRNA". From Rfam's summary of the family: Transfer RNA (tRNA) molecules are approximately 80 nucleotides in length. Lineage: Bacteria; Pseudomonadati; Spirochaetota; Spirochaetia; Spirochaetales; Spirochaetaceae. The record is from RNAcentral.